Molecule: long non-coding RNA, 446 nt
Filed under: Ananas comosus (pineapple)
Lineage: Eukaryota; Viridiplantae; Streptophyta; Magnoliopsida; Poales; Bromeliaceae
Description: long non-coding RNA (ACOM_LNC036840)
Source: RNAcentral
UCUCAUUCUUGGGAUAGAUAUAACUAUAGGAAUAAGUAGGGAUAUAUAAUUAAUUUUGUGUUUAGGUAAGAAUUGUGUUAUUACUGAGAAUAAAGAAAUUGUGUUUGGAUGAUUAAAUUGGAAUAAUUGGAACAGAGGAAUUAUAAUAUAAAAUAUAGGGACUUCACCAAUUAAUUAUAAUCAUGCUAUUAGUAAGAGUCCGGCUACUAUACUAUCGAUAGUACCAAGCUCUUGGUACUAUCAAAUUUUCUGCCGUUAAAUCUACCCUUUGAUCAUUUGCACCCGUUAGACUAUAUUAUUCAACUAACCACACAUUCAACCCUUGGAGUCUACUAUCAUCUUAACCAUACAUCCAUUCAUCCCACGGCCAAAAACUUUAUAGAAUUAAGUGCUUGAUACUAUUGAUAGUAUAGUAGCAUAAUUCCUAUUAGUAAAUAGUAUUUAGG